Molecule: long non-coding RNA, 255 nt
Filed under: Lathyrus oleraceus (garden pea)
Lineage: Eukaryota; Viridiplantae; Streptophyta; Magnoliopsida; Fabales; Fabaceae
Description: Pisum sativum (pea) long non-coding RNA (PSAT_LNC033809)
Source: RNAcentral
AAAUUAAUGAUGUGAUUGUAGUUGAAAAAAUUAUCAGUUUGUCUGAUACAAUGGUUGAGGGGCAUCAAGUCGAUGCACCUAUACUGUUGGUAGAAAAUAAUGUGGACGAAGAGCAUGAAGAGUUAGGAUCUGAGGACAAUAUCACAUCAGAUGAUGAGAAUGAUAUGGAUAAAGAGCAUGGAGAUUUUGAAUAUUUUUUUUUUGUAAUUUUACUUAAUGAAACAUUGUAUUGAAUGUGUUAAUGAAUAUAUAUUG